GUUUCUGGGGAACGCUCCGCCGAGUUCCGCCGGCCCUUGUUACCUCCCUUCGUCCUCCUCGGAUCUCGUCCUCGACGACCUCCGCCGACUCUCCGUCGUCUCGGACAGAGCUAGUGUUUGUCUUGCUGCGGGGAUGGAACGGCUCUGCUCGGCCGAGUCACCACGGUUCUCCGAUUUAUUUACUUCUGCAAACUCAUCUGAUAACCAUCUGGGUGUCCCUUGGAAGAUUUCACAAAACUUUGAUGUUGUUGAUAAGGUUUGAGAUUCAACAUAUAAAGCACCAGAACAAAUGGUGUAUCAUAAGCAAAUCAAGAACAGCAGCCACCUCCUUACAAGUGAAACAUAUGAGAAGCCAUAGCCAUCAUGGAUCUACACUCAACACAAUUUUUUUUGAUAUUAAUUCAAUGUUGCUGCUCUAGCAAAUGCACCCAUCAAAAUUUGGUGCAAACUGUCACUCAAAUAAAUUUCAAAUAGAUACAUGCAGCUGCCAACACAAAAAAGUUGGCAAAUUUCAAGUGUUUUGUGUGAGAAGGUUAAAGAGUGGAACCAGUUCAGCUCCUGAAAUGAAGGUUUCCUUGUUAUUCUGAACCACCUGUAACAGAGAUGUCUCAGAUUAGUCUAGACUGCAACUUGAACCUGUAAAUGUUGCCCUGCAAACUCCAAAUUGAAUAGACAAAACUUAGUAACACUGAACUUGCAUGUAUUCCAAACUCAUAGUUGAACUGAAUAAUCAGAUGUCAAUGUUUCUA
Molecule: long non-coding RNA, 749 nt
Organism: Musa acuminata AAA Group (dessert banana)
Lineage: Eukaryota; Viridiplantae; Streptophyta; Magnoliopsida; Zingiberales; Musaceae
Exons: 2
Source: RefSeq, a predicted model, not a curated record